RNAcentral lists this ribosomal RNA (1532 nucleotides) under Lactiplantibacillus plantarum. RNAcentral describes it as "bacterial SSU rRNA". It matches the Rfam family "Bacterial small subunit ribosomal RNA". The record is from RNAcentral. Lineage: Bacteria; Bacillati; Bacillota; Bacilli; Lactobacillales; Lactobacillaceae.
AGAGUUUGAUCCUGGCUCAGGACGAACGCUGGCGGCGUGCCUAAUACAUGCAAGUCGAACGAACUCUGGUGUUGAUUGGUGCUUGCAUCAUGAUUUACAUUUGAGUGAGUGGCGAACUGGUGAGUAACACGUGGGAAACCUGCCCAGAAGCGGGGGAUAACACCUGGAAACAGAUGCUAAUACCGCAUAACAACUUGGACCGCAUGGUCCGAGUUUGAAAGAUGGCUUCGGCUAUCACUUUUGGAUGGUCCCGCGGCGUAUUAGCUAGAUGGUGAGGUAACGGCUCACCAUGGCAAUGAUACGUAGCCGACCUGAGAGGGUAAUCGGCCACAUUGGGACUGAGACACGGCCCAAACUCCUACGGGAGGCAGCAGUAGGGAAUCUUCCACAAUGGACGAAAGUCUGAUGGAGCAACGCCGCGUGAGUGAAGAAGGGUUUCGGCUCGUAAAACUCUGUUGUUAAAGAAGAACAUAUCUGAGAGUAACUGUUCAGGUAUUGACGGUAUUUAACCAGAAAGCCACGGCUAACUACGUGCCAGCAGCCGCGGUAAUACGUAGGUGGCAAGCGUUGUCCGGAUUUAUUGGGCGUAAAGCGAGCGCAGGCGGUUUUUUAAGUCUGAUGUGAAAGCCUUCGGCUCAACCGAAGAAGUGCAUCGGAAACUGGGGAACUUGAGUGCAGAAGAGGACAGUGGAACUCCAUGUGUAGCGGUGAAAUGCGUAGAUAUAUGGAAGAACACCAGUGGCGAAGGCGGCUGUCUGGUCUGUAACUGACGCUGAGGCUCGAAAGUAUGGGUAGCAAACAGGAUUAGAUACCCUGGUAGUCCAUACCGUAAACGAUGAAUGCUAAGUGUUGGAGGGUUUCCGCCCUUCAGUGCUGCAGCUAACGCAUUAAGCAUUCCGCCUGGGGAGUACGGCCGCAAGGCUGAAACUCAAAGGAAUUGACGGGGGCCCGCACAAGCGGUGGAGCAUGUGGUUUAAUUCGAAGCUACGCGAAGAACCUUACCAGGUCUUGACAUACUAUGCAAAUCUAAGAGAUUAGACGUUCCCUUCGGGGACAUGGAUACAGGUGGUGCAUGGUUGUCGUCAGCUCGUGUCGUGAGAUGUUGGGUUAAGUCCCGCAACGAGCGCAACCCUUAUUAUCAGUUGCCAGCAUUAAGUUGGGCACUCUGGUGAGACUGCCGGUGACAAACCGGAGGAAGGUGGGGAUGACGUCAAAUCAUCAUGCCCCUUAUGACCUGGGCUACACACGUGCUACAAUGGAUGGUACAACGAGUUGCGAACUCGCGAGAGUAAGCUAAUCUCUUAAAGCCAUUCUCAGUUCGGAUUGUAGGCUGCAACUCGCCUACAUGAAGUCGGAAUCGCUAGUAAUCGCGGAUCAGCAUGCCGCGGUGAAUACGUUCCCGGGCCUUGUACACACCGCCCGUCACACCAUGAGAGUUUGUAACACCCAAAGUCGGUGGGGUAACCUUUUAGGAACCAGCCGCCUAAGGUGGGACAGAUGAUUAGGGUGAAGUCGUAACAAGGUAGCCGUAG